AGUGUGGUGUAUUUUGGAGGCCUGUGUUAUUUAACUCAGGGUCCUUAAGUAUGGUACUAAAUUACAUUGUGCUGUCACAUGGACUUAAAAGCAUUUUAAAAUAUGUGUUGGGCUGGAUCUCGAGAUCUCAUGAAAUGAAUCCAUCCAUGAAGCCAGGCGCUUCCAAGCAGACACAAGGCCCUGUGGAAGGCCUGAGCUCAUGGAGAAACUCCCGCCAUUUUGUCUCCUGUUUCUCGUCAGGUCGCCUGCCAACUCCGAGUCCCCCAAUCAGGGCGCCCAGAGGAACACAUGGUCCGCGGGGCUCCUCAAUACUCUCGCGUGCCACACGCCCCAUUUCAAAUAAACACCCGGCUCCACUUGGCGCUGUGAGGCCCGCCAUCUGCCCAAACAGCGCAAGGCGGAAAAUAAAUGCCGCGCUCCUAAACAAAUAAACCUUCGCGCCAUUCAAGCGCGGGAUAAAAUACGAUUUAUCCUCGCCAAAUGUAAACACGGCGACAGGGCUCUGAAUAUAUGAGGAGACCCGUGCAAUGAGUCUGCGCAUCAACCUUACAUCCAGCAGAGGGCGAUACAGCACCAAGAUGCAGCUGGAACAGACAGCCUCCAAAAGAGGGUCUGAGGCCUUUUUCCAAAUCUCUGAUUUAAACCACCUCAUGUACGCUGUGUGCUCCUGGCCUCGCCUUGUGUUUUAGCUUAACCAUGAAACUCCAUGAAUUUGAGAAAUAUGAAGAGAAUAAGAUGAUUGGCUGUCUUUGCGUUCCGUCAUGCAAGAGGCAGGGCUGUCACGGAAAUCUCUCCUUAUAGGGAUAUAAUUGAGUAAUGAAUGAAGCCCUGGAGUCAUAGUAAACAGCAUCUCUAGUACUUCAGGAAUUUUAUCCAACAUGGAGGAUGAAGAGAUUUAUCCUGAUCUUCAUGUUUGGCCUCUGCCGACAGGAGCGUCAUGGUGGAUCCAGCAGGUUGACUGAGUCGUUUUGUUCACCCUGCUUUAAUGAGUUACAGGAUCCACUUUGUUCCGGCACAGAGCUGCUUCCCUCCUCCCAUCCCUGCAGAGGCCUCUCUUUUACAACCUCAGGUGCUUCUGGAUACACUUAGUGCUCACUGUACGUCACCUGGGAAUGCACGGGGUCAACCCUUUCCUGACCUCCCACUGGUAUCUGUGCUCAUACAGCCACAAAAAGAAAGAACAAGAAAAACAAAGUGCCCUAUAAAGUCUCUCUUAUAAUGUGGGAGAAGUCAUUUCACAUCUUCAGGUUUUUUGUUUUUGUUUUAUUUUAGACUACGUAUUUUUUUAGACAAAUGCAUUUUACAUGUGUUCAUGUAUAGGGCUUGUAAUCAAGAUAUUUUAAUAUUUUUUCCCCCUAUCUCUAUUGUAUAAUAACAAUUCCCAUAAAUUUAUGAAAUUGAAUUAAUACAUUUUCUUACAGUAAUUUGACUACCAUGGUUGAGCUUGACUAAUGCAGUAAACUAUUUUUUAUUU
Long non-coding RNA from Carassius carassius (crucian carp), 1474 nucleotides. RefSeq lists it as uncharacterized. The transcript has 6 exons. The record is from RefSeq and is a predicted model, not a curated record. Lineage: Eukaryota; Metazoa; Chordata; Actinopteri; Cypriniformes; Cyprinidae.